RNAcentral lists this long non-coding RNA (402 nucleotides) under Gossypium raimondii (Peruvian cotton). RNAcentral's name for it is "long non-coding RNA (GRAI_LNC008142)". Lineage: Eukaryota; Viridiplantae; Streptophyta; Magnoliopsida; Malvales; Malvaceae. The record is from RNAcentral.
ACAAAUAUUACAAAAAUUAAAAUUAAUAAUAAAAAAUUACCUUUUCUUUUUUUCUUUUUCCUUCCUCCCCUCUUCUUCUUCUUCUUUUUUUUUUUCUCUUCUCAUUUCCUUUUCUUUCAUUCUUUUUCUUUCUUUUUUCUUCUUCUCCUUUCCUUUUCUUUCCUUCUUUUUCUUUCUUUCUUUCUUCUUCUUUCCCUCUCCUUCUCUUCCCCCCACCCACCAGCCGAAUGGUCCCCAUUAUAAGGGCAGUGCCGCCCAUGGGAAUGGCACCUUUGGUGCCGCCUAUCAGUGGCCUGUCAAAUCGACUGCAGCUUUUUUUUCUUUUUUCUACUUUUUGUUAUUUUUUGGUAUAUUUUGGUAAAUAAAAAAAUAUAUAAUAGUUUGGUUAUUUUUAAUUUCUUU